UACGUAGGGUGCAAGCGUUGUCCGGAAUUAUUGGGCGUAAAGAGCUCGUAGGCGGUUUGUUGCGUCGGCUGUGAAAUCCCGAGGCUCAACCUCGGGUCUGCAGUCGAUACGAGCAAACUAGAGUGUUGCAGGGGAGACUGGAAUUCCUGGUGUAGCGGUGAAAUGCGCAGAUAUCAGGAGGAACACCGGAGGCGAAGGCGGGAUCCUGGGCAGGUACUGACGCUGAGGCGCGAAAGCGAGGGGAGCGAACAGG
This 253-nucleotide ribosomal RNA is filed under the name uncultured bacterium. Its description in RNAcentral is "partial 16S ribosomal RNA". It matches the Rfam family "Bacterial small subunit ribosomal RNA", at positions 524 to 776 of the family's 1533-position model. The record is from RNAcentral.